GACGAACGCUGGCGGCGUGCUUAACACAUGCAAGUCGAACGAUGAAGAAGAGAAACGCGAACUUCGGUUCAAAUUUCACUUCGGAUUAGUGGCAGACGGGUGAGUAACGCGUGCGCAACCUACCUCUUACAAAGGGAUAGCCUCGGGAAACCGUGAUUAAUACCAUAUGACACAUUCAUAAGGCAUCUUAAGAAUGUUAAAGCUACGGCGGUAAGAGAUGGGCUCGCGUCCCAUUAGCUAGUUGGUGAGGUAACGGCCCACCAAGGCGACGAUGGGUAACCGGCCUGAGAGGGUGAACGGUUACAUUGGAACUGAGACACGGUCCAAACUCCUACGGGAAGCAGCAGUGGGGAAUAUUGCACAAUGGAGGGAACUCUGAUGCAGCGACGCCGCGUGAGCGAUGAAGUAAUUCGUUUCGUAAAGCUCUGUUCUAUGGGAAGAAAAGGACUGUACCAUAUGAGAAAGCCCCGGCUAACUACGUG
RNAcentral lists this ribosomal RNA (482 nucleotides) under uncultured bacterium. RNAcentral's name for it is "partial 16S ribosomal RNA". It matches the Rfam family "Bacterial small subunit ribosomal RNA", at positions 28 to 507 of the family's 1533-position model. The record is from RNAcentral.